Molecule: long non-coding RNA, 255 nt
Filed under: Helianthus annuus (common sunflower)
Lineage: Eukaryota; Viridiplantae; Streptophyta; Magnoliopsida; Asterales; Asteraceae
Description: sRNA HanXRQr2_Chr07g0300791
Source: RNAcentral
UGUUGGAAUUGCUACCAACCAAACGACUAUCAACGUUGGACAACAUCUCGGCAACAUAACCACAACACUGAGACCAUUUGAAGUCGUUCACUCAUCAGUUUGGGCUACUACCUCACUCGUUCGGAACAAAGAGAAGACGAGACUAUAUCUAGUGGUCUAAUGGUGCUUAAGAUGUUAAAAUGCUUGGCUUAUUGUGAAAUCGAGGCUAGGAAAGAGUCUAGAAACAAAGACAAUUUAUUUUUACUUGAAAUCUGA